RNAcentral lists this transfer RNA (73 nucleotides) under Aedes aegypti (yellow fever mosquito). It matches the Rfam family "tRNA". From Rfam's summary of the family: Transfer RNA (tRNA) molecules are approximately 80 nucleotides in length. Their secondary structure includes four short double-helical elements and three loops (D, anti-codon, and T loops). Lineage: Eukaryota; Metazoa; Arthropoda; Insecta; Diptera; Culicidae. The record is from Rfam by way of RNAcentral.
CCUCUCAUAGCGUAGUGGUAACGCGCCCCAACUAGAGAUCGGGGAGACGUGAGUUCGAUUCUCACUGAGAAGA